CUAAUUUGACUCAACGCGGGGAAACUCACCAGGUCCAGACAUGACUAGGAUUGACAGAUUGAUAGCUCUUUCAUGAUUUUAUGGGUGGUGGUGCAUGGCCGUUCUUAGUUGGUGGAGUGAUUUGUCUGGUUAAUUCCGAUAACGAACGAGACCUUAACCUGCUAAAUAGCCAGGCCGGCUUCGGCUGGUCGCCGGCUUCUUAGAGGGACUGUCUGCGUCUAGCAGACGGAAGUUUGAGGCAAUAA
RNAcentral lists this ribosomal RNA (245 nucleotides) under uncultured marine eukaryote. RNAcentral's name for it is "partial 18S ribosomal RNA". It matches the Rfam family "Eukaryotic small subunit ribosomal RNA", at positions 1191 to 1456 of the family's 1831-position model. The record is from RNAcentral.